GUGAACGCCCUCACGGGCUUAUACUAUUCCAAACCUCUGUGAACCGUGCCCUUCGGGGCUAUUUUACAAACAUGGUGUAAUGAACGUCAUAUAUCAUAACAAAACA
This 106-nucleotide unclassified non-coding RNA is filed under the name soil metagenome. RNAcentral's name for it is "partial internal transcribed spacer 1". The record is from RNAcentral.